CUGGACAUUGUUAGAGAAGCCAUUUGACAUAACUACUGGAGAGUAUGACACUACUGGACCUCUGAGAGGUAGCAGUUUGCCGAAGAUGACAGUGAAUUAUAUAGCAAGGUGGCUGAUAUCAUCGGAAGGAGGACCAACCAAAGCAAAGAUGAAACUGUGAGAGCAACCACGGAGCAAGAAAUAAGUGGAAAGGUUUAUGCUGUCUGUGGAUAUGGAUAGCAUAUGUAUAUGACUUUGCAAAAGCAGUUUGCUGAAAGAGGACAUCAUUAGAGAGUGAGGUAAUUGCACUUGUUCUGAGUGUUGAAGUGGUGGGAAAUAUGUAGUUGAU
RNAcentral lists this long non-coding RNA (328 nucleotides) under Phasianus colchicus (ring-necked pheasant). RNAcentral's name for it is "lncRNA (ENSPCLG00000003048.1)". The record is from RNAcentral. Lineage: Eukaryota; Metazoa; Chordata; Aves; Galliformes; Phasianidae.